Molecule: transfer RNA, 72 nt
Filed under: Camelus ferus (Wild Bactrian camel)
Lineage: Eukaryota; Metazoa; Chordata; Mammalia; Artiodactyla; Camelidae
Rfam family: tRNA
About the family: Transfer RNA (tRNA) molecules are approximately 80 nucleotides in length. Their secondary structure includes four short double-helical elements and three loops (D, anti-codon, and T loops).
Source: Rfam by way of RNAcentral
GGGGGUGUAGCUCAGUGGUAGAGCGUGUGCUUAGCAUGCAUGAGGUCCUGGGUUCGAUCCCCAGCACCUCCA